AGGGAGGCGAGAUGGCGACAUGGAGCAAAUCCCAAAAACAGCGCCCCAGUUCGGAUUGCAGGCUGCAACCCGCCUGCAUGAAGCCGGAAUCGCUAGUAAUCGCGGAUCAGAAUGCCGCGGUGAAUACGUUCCCGGGUCUUGUACACACCGCCCGUCACACCAUGGGAGCCGGGAAUGCCCGAAGUCAGUGGCCCAACCGCAAGGGGGGAGCUGCCGAAGGCAGGCCUGGUGACUGGGGUGAAGUCGUAACAAGGUAAC
This 258-nucleotide ribosomal RNA is filed under the name uncultured bacterium. RNAcentral describes it as "partial 16S ribosomal RNA". It matches the Rfam family "Bacterial small subunit ribosomal RNA", at positions 1243 to 1500 of the family's 1533-position model. The record is from RNAcentral.